This 636-nucleotide ribosomal RNA is filed under the name Klebsiella pneumoniae. Its description in RNAcentral is "partial 23S ribosomal RNA". It matches the Rfam family "Bacterial large subunit ribosomal RNA", at positions 2295 to 2925 of the family's 2925-position model. The record is from RNAcentral. Lineage: Bacteria; Pseudomonadati; Pseudomonadota; Gammaproteobacteria; Enterobacterales; Enterobacteriaceae.
GCGUAACGGAGGAGCACGAAGGUUAGCUAAUCCUGGUCGGACAUCAGGAGGUUAGUGCAAUGGCAUAAGCUAGCUUGACUGCGAGCGUGACGGCGCGAGCAGGUGCGAAAGCAGGUCAUAGUGAUCCGGUGGUUCUGAAUGGAAGGGCCAUCGCUCAACGGAUAAAAGGUACUCCGGGGAUAACAGGCUGAUACCGCCCAAGAGUUCAUAUCGACGGCGGUGUUUGGCACCUCGAUGUCGGCUCAUCACAUCCUGGGGCUGAAGUAGGUCCCAAGGGUAUGGCUGUUCGCCAUUUAAAGUGGUACGCGAGCUGGGUUUAGAACGUCGUGAGACAGUUCGGUCCCUAUCUGCCGUGGGCGCUGGAGAAUUGAGGGGGGCUGCUCCUAGUACGAGAGGACCGGAGUGGACGCAUCACUGGUGUUCGGGUUGUCAUGCCAAUGGCACUGCCCGGUAGCUAAAUGCGGAAGAGAUAAGUGCUGAAAGCAUCUAAGCACGAAACUUGCCCCGAGAUGAGUUCUCCCUGAGACUUUAAGUCUCCUGAAGGAACGUUAAAGACGAUGACGUUGAUAGGCCGGGUGUGUAAGCGCAGCGAUGCGUUGAGCUAACCGGUACUAAUGAACCGUGAGGCUUAACCUU